GGUCACCCUGGCGCAGAUGUUUGUCCGCCGGUGUCUCCGUACCUGGAAGAGAGCUGCUCUUCUCAAGACCACCUCCAGGUAUCAACGACAGGUAGACCACCCCCAGGUAUCAACGACAGGUAGACCACCCCCAGGUAUCAACGACAGGUAGACCACCCCCAGGUAUCAACGACAGGUAGACCACCCCCAGGUAUCAAUGACAGGUAGACCACCUCCAGGUAUCAACGACAGGUAGACUGCCCCCAGGUAUCAACGACAGGUAGACCGCCCCCAGGUAUCAACGACAGGUAGACCACCUCCAGGUAUCAACGACAGGUAGACCACCUCCAGGUAUCAACGACAGGUAGACCGCCUCCAGGUAUCAACGACAGGUAGACCACCCCCAGGUAUCAACGACAGGUAGACCACCCCCAGGUAUCAACGACAGGUAGACCACCCCCAGGUAUCAACGACAGGUAGACCACCCCCAGGUAUCAACGACAGGUAGACUGCCCCCGGACCCCGGCUCCCUGCUACCAUCUAGGGCAGAGGGUAUGGCUGUCCACUUGGGAUCUGGCCCCCCCCGGGCAGAGUCCAGUACACUGUCCCCCCAUUUUAUCGGCCCUUUCGCCAUCUCUAAAAUCCAUAGUAUACAAACCCUCCGUAUACAUCCCACUUUUCAUGUAUCAAGGAUUAAACUUCUGUCUCCCUUGCCCUGACCCUGCCUGCCCUGACCCUGCCUGCCCUA
Oncorhynchus tshawytscha (Chinook salmon) is the source of this 727-nucleotide long non-coding RNA. The record is from Ensembl. NCBI's taxonomy places the organism in Eukaryota, Metazoa, Chordata, Actinopteri, Salmoniformes, Salmonidae.